This 715-nucleotide long non-coding RNA is filed under the name Coturnix japonica (Japanese quail). RNAcentral's name for it is "lncRNA (ENSCJPG00005015987.1)". Lineage: Eukaryota; Metazoa; Chordata; Aves; Galliformes; Phasianidae. The record is from RNAcentral.
AUGGAUUCGGGAGAAAGGGAGAACUCAAAAACCUCAUUUGACCCAUUAAUUAGGGCUACUCUGCUUCUUGUCAUCUAUUUUGGAGGGGGCAUGGGAGGAGAAAGAGGAAGGAUGCUUCACAGCAUUGCUCAGCACUCACCCUCUCCAACCUUUUCAUGUCCCCAUCAUAGUGUCUAUGCCCCAGUUCCCUCGACUGGCAACCUCUUCUCAUGGUCCCAUUUGACUCCGACUCCCAACUUAGCAGGCAGAUCUGGGGACAUUUUUCUUUGCAAACAACCAUUUUCACCACAAAUGCCAAGGUAUCAGCUGGGAUCAAAUUCUGAAGUACUUGUGAAAGUACCUGUUUUCACACAUGGCUGCAAGCAAGGUAAAUAUUCACAAGGUUAUGCAAAGUAUUGGGUAAUACUGGAUCUGGUAUGUUUGGUCUCUAUUGGUUGUGCAUGAAUUUUACCCUAUUUAUUUUUUCUACAUCCACAGCUUUUUGAUUCCUCACCUUGAGCCAAUUCAUUUCAGGGGAGACUUUAUCUUUUCCCUUUCAUUUCCUGAGAAUAUCUGCCACAGAUGCUACUUUAGCACACAGAUUACAUUACAACAAUUAAAAGAUCCCGGGUAUUAUUUCUGUUUAUACUUGCCUAACUGGCAAAAGCAAAAGCAAAAGAACACACGGGUUUCAGCAGAAGCAAAGUCUAGUGAUUUUCAUAAAUCCUUGCACCAG